RNAcentral lists this ribosomal RNA (253 nucleotides) under uncultured bacterium. Its description in RNAcentral is "partial 16S ribosomal RNA". It matches the Rfam family "Bacterial small subunit ribosomal RNA", at positions 524 to 776 of the family's 1533-position model. The record is from RNAcentral.
UACGAAGGGGGCUAGCGUUGCUCGGAAUCACUGGGCGUAAAGGGCGCGUAGGCGGGGCUUUAAGUCAGGGGGGAAAUCCUGGAGCUCAACUCCAGAACUGCCUUUGAUACUGAAGAUCUUGAGUUCGGGAGAGGUGAGUGGAACUGCGAGUGUAGAGGUGAAAUUCGUAGAUAUUCGCAAGAACACCAGUGGCGAAGGCGGCUCACUGGCCCGAUACUGACGCUGAGGCACGAAAGCGUGGGGAGCAAACAGG